CGAACGCUGGCGGCGUGCUUAACACAUGCAAGUCGACCGGCAAGGCCCUGCUUUUGUGGGGUGCUCGAGUGGCGAACGGGUGAGUAACACGUGAGUAACCUGCCCUUGACUUUGGGAUAACUUCAGGAAACUGGGGCUAAUACCGGAUAGGAGCUCCUGCUGCAUGGUGGGGGUUGGAAAGUUUCGGCGGUUGGGGAUGGACUCGCGGCUUAUCAGCUUGUUGGUGGGGUAGUGGCUUACCAAGGCUUUGACGGGUAGCCGGCCUGAGAGGGUGACCGGCCACAUUGGGACUGAGAUACGGCCCAGACUCCUACGGGAGGCAGCAGUGGGGAAUAUUGCACAAUGGGCGGAAGCCUGAUGCAGCAACGCCGCGUGCGGGAUGACGGCCUUCGGGUUGUAAACCGCUUUCGCCUAUGACGAAGCGUGAGUGACGGUAAUGGGUAAAGAAGCACCGGCUAACUACGUG
This 466-nucleotide ribosomal RNA is filed under the name uncultured bacterium. RNAcentral describes it as "partial 16S ribosomal RNA". It matches the Rfam family "Bacterial small subunit ribosomal RNA", at positions 30 to 507 of the family's 1533-position model. The record is from RNAcentral.